Molecule: non-coding RNA, 801 nt
Organism: Camellia sinensis
Lineage: Eukaryota; Viridiplantae; Streptophyta; Magnoliopsida; Ericales; Theaceae
Source: RefSeq, a predicted model, not a curated record
AGCACCUAACACUAGCAUAUACUAAGCCGUCCACUGUUAAAUGAUUUCAGAUCCAUCAUCUGUAUUUAAUCAUGAGAUUAUCUUCCAUAAAUUGGUGUAAAGUAUAUGAUAUGUAUCUGUUACUCGUAGUAGUUGAAUAAAUUUCCAAUAAGAUACUAAAUCAAUGUGGUAGGGCAAUGUGAAAAUGAUAGGAUAGGACAUAACACUUGCAUUUAAGUUUGUUGUUAAGGGAAAAUGAUUGUUAUGGACAUAACACUUGCAUUUAAGUGGUGUCUUAAUCAUUCAACAAUGGAUUAUUGAUUCUUAGGCAUAUUCCCACCAAUGGAGGAGUAAAUUUGUGGACCAAAUCAGUAUGAAUCUUUGCUUAGUUAGUUGGACCAAAAAUGUAAAGCAAGCUAAUUUGUGGACCAAACUAGUAUGAAUCUUUCUUGCAUCAUGACUAUGAAAAUUUGAUUAUUUUGAAACUGGUGUUAAUAUGCCAUAUUUAGAAGAAAAUUACAUCAUGCUAUAUCUCACCAUUAAUUACGAAUACUAACAUCUUGUCAGGAAAAUGUUUUUCAUUAAGCAGACUGGUUUUCUUGGCCUUUCGGGGAAGAGUGCAGACACAAUUGAUUUUUAUACGUCUGAGAUCAAGAGACUAUCAAAAGAAAUCUCAAAAUCAACCAGCGAAGAUGCUAGUUGAUGAUAUUGGUGAUGUAACAAUUACUAAUGAUGGUGUUGUAAUACUCAAGAUGUUAGAUGUUGAGUAUCCUGCUGCAAAGGUAGGAGAAUAAAGCAUCCAUUUGGCUGAGCUUCAUGACC